UAUUCUCAGGGUAGGGUGAAAUUCCCAAUCGGCGGUAAUCAAUAUUGAAAGUCCGCAAGCGUUUCUUUUUAGAAAGUCAGCAGAACCGGUGCGAAUCCGGUACCGACAGUUAAAGUCUGGAUGAAAGAGAGU
This 132-nucleotide non-coding RNA is filed under the name human gut metagenome. RNAcentral's name for it is "FMN riboswitch (RFN element)". It matches the Rfam family "FMN riboswitch aptamer (RFN element)". Rfam says of the family: The RFN element is a highly conserved domain that is found frequently in the 5'-untranslated regions of prokaryotic mRNAs that encode for flavin mononucleotide (FMN) biosynthesis and transport proteins. The record is from RNAcentral.